RNAcentral lists this ribosomal RNA (460 nucleotides) under uncultured bacterium. RNAcentral describes it as "partial 16S ribosomal RNA". It matches the Rfam family "Bacterial small subunit ribosomal RNA", at positions 338 to 795 of the family's 1533-position model. The record is from RNAcentral.
CCUACGGGAGGCAGCAGUGAGGAAUAUUGGUCAAUGCACGAGAGUCUGAACCAGCCAAGUAGCGUGAAGGAUGACUGCCCUAUGGGUUGUAAACUUCUUUUAUAUGGGAAUAAAAUGUUCCACGUGUGGGAUUUUGUAUGUACCAUAUGAAUAAGGAUCGGCUAACUCCGUGCCAGCAGCCGCGGUAAUACGGAGGAUCCGAGCUUUAUCCGGUGUUAUUGGGUUUAAAGGGAGCGUAGGUGGAUUGUUAAGUCAGUUGUGAAAGUUUGCGGCUCAACCGUAAAAUUGCAGUUGAAACUGGCAGUCUUGAGUACAGUAGAGGUGGGCGGAAUGCGUGGUGUAGCGGUGAAAUGCUUAGAUAUCACGAAGAACUCCGAUUGCGAAGGCAGUUCACUGGACUGCAACUGACACUGAGGCUCGAAAGUGUGGGUAUCAAACAGGAUUAGAUACCCUAGUAGUC